GAUGAACGCUGGCGGCGCGCCUAACACAUGCAAGUCGAACGGCACCCACCUUCGGGUGGAAGCGAGUGGCGAACGGCUGAGUAACACGUGGAGAACCUGCCCCCUCCCCCGGGAUAGCCGCCCGAAAGGACGGGUAAUACCGGAUACCCCGGGGUGCCGCAUGGCACCCCGGCUAAAGCCCCGACGGGAGGGGAUGGCUCCGCGGCCCAUCAGGUAGACGGCGGGGUGACGGCCCACCGUGCCGACAACGGGUAGCCGGGUUGAGAGACCGACCGGCCAGAUUGGGACUGAGACACGGCCCAGACUCCUACGGGAGGCAGCAGUGGGGAAUCUUGCGCAAUGGGGGGAACCCUGACGCAGCGACGCCGCGUGCGGGACGGAGGCCUUCGGGUCGUAAACCGCUUUCAGCAGGGAAGAGUCAAGACUGUACCUGCAGAAGAAGCC
This 444-nucleotide ribosomal RNA is filed under the name uncultured bacterium. Its description in RNAcentral is "bacterial SSU rRNA". It matches the Rfam family "Bacterial small subunit ribosomal RNA", at positions 28 to 492 of the family's 1533-position model. The record is from RNAcentral.